This 253-nucleotide ribosomal RNA is filed under the name uncultured bacterium. RNAcentral describes it as "partial 16S ribosomal RNA". It matches the Rfam family "Bacterial small subunit ribosomal RNA", at positions 524 to 776 of the family's 1533-position model. The record is from RNAcentral.
UACGUAGGGGGCAAGCGUUGUCCGGAAUCAUUGGGCGUAAAGCGCGUGUAGGCGGUUCGGUAAGUCUGCUGUGAAAGUCCAGGGCUCAACCCUGGGAUGCCGGUGGAUACUGUCGGACUAGAGUACGGAAGAGGCGAGUGGAAUUCCCGGUGUAGCGGUGAAAUGCGCAGAUAUCGGGAGGAACACCAGUGGCGAAGGCGGUCUCCUGGGGCAUUCUUGACGCUGAGGCGCGAAAGCUGGGGGAGCAAACGGG